GGGGGGGGGGGGGGGGGGGGGGGGGGCGGGGGGGGCGGGCGGGGAGGCCCGGGUGUGGGGGGGGGGUGGGGUGGCGGGCGGGUGAGUGACACGGGAGUAAGCUGCCCGUGACUUUGGGGGAACUUCAGGGAACUGGGGCGCAUACCGGGUAGGAGCUCCUGCUGCACGGGGGUGGUGGGCAAGUUUCGGCGGUUGGGGAUGGACUCGCGGCUUAUCAGCUUGUUGGUGGGGUAGUGGCUUACCAAGGCUAUGACGGGUAGCCGGCCUGAGAGGGUGACCGGCCACAUUGGGACUGAGAUACGGCCCAGACUCCUACGGGAGGCAGCAGUGGGGAAUAUUGCACAAUGGGCGGAAGCCUGAUGCAGCAACGCCGCGUGCGGGAUGACGGCCUUCGGGUUGUAAACCGCUUUCGCCUGUGACGAAGCGUGAGUGACGGUAAUGGGUAAAGAAGCACCGGCUAACUACGUG
RNAcentral lists this ribosomal RNA (468 nucleotides) under uncultured bacterium. RNAcentral's name for it is "partial 16S ribosomal RNA". It matches the Rfam family "Bacterial small subunit ribosomal RNA", at positions 35 to 507 of the family's 1533-position model. The record is from RNAcentral.